This 425-nucleotide ribosomal RNA is filed under the name Salmonella enterica subsp. enterica serovar Blockley. Its description in RNAcentral is "bacterial SSU rRNA". It matches the Rfam family "Bacterial small subunit ribosomal RNA", at positions 306 to 723 of the family's 1533-position model. Lineage: Bacteria; Pseudomonadati; Pseudomonadota; Gammaproteobacteria; Enterobacterales; Enterobacteriaceae. The record is from RNAcentral.
AGCCACACUGGAACUGAGACACGGUCCAGUCUCCUACGGGAGGCAGCAGUGGGGAUUAUUGCACAAUGGGCGCAAGCCUGAUGCAGCCAUGCCGCGUGUAUGAAGAAGGCCUUCGGGUUGUAAAGUACUUUCAGCGGGGAGGAAGGUGUUGUGGUUAAUAACCACAGCAAUUGACGUUACCCGCAGAAGAAGCACCGGCUAACUCCGUGCCAGCAGCCGCGGUAAUACGGAGGGUGCAAGCGUUAAUCGGAAUUACUGGGCGUAAAGCGCACGCAGGCGGUCUGUCAAGUCGGAUGUGAAAUCCCCGGGCUCAACCUGGGAACUGCAUUCGAAACUGGCAGGCUUGAGUCUUGUAGAGGGGGGUAGAAUUCCAGGUGUAGCGGUGAAAUGCGUAGAGAUCUGGAGGAAUACCGGUGGCGAAGGCG